GUCGAGAAUCUUUCACAAUGGGGGCAACCCUGAUGGAGCGACGCCGCGUGGAGGAUAAGGUCUUCGGAUUGUAAACUCCUGUCAUGCGUGAACAAGGUUGCUUGGUUAAUACCUGGGCAAAUUGAUGGUAACGCAAGAGGAAGAGACGGCUAACUCUGUGCCAGCAGCCGCGGUAAUACAGAGGUCUCAAGCGUUGUUCGGAAUCACUGGGCGUAAAGGGUGCGUAGGUGGCGUGGUAAGUCAGAUGUGAAAGCCCGGGGCUCAACCUCGGAACUGCAUCAGAUACUGCCAUGCUAGAGUACUGGAGAGGUGACUAGAAUUCUCGGUGUAGCAGUGAAAUGCGUAGAUAUCGAGAGGAAUACCAAAGGCGUAGGCAGGUCACUGGACAGUUACUGACACUGAGGCACGAAGGCCAGGGGAGCGAACGGGAUUAGAAACCCGGGUAGUCC
RNAcentral lists this ribosomal RNA (449 nucleotides) under uncultured bacterium. RNAcentral describes it as "partial 16S ribosomal RNA". It matches the Rfam family "Bacterial small subunit ribosomal RNA", at positions 354 to 796 of the family's 1533-position model. The record is from RNAcentral.